This 253-nucleotide ribosomal RNA is filed under the name uncultured bacterium. Its description in RNAcentral is "partial 16S ribosomal RNA". It matches the Rfam family "Bacterial small subunit ribosomal RNA", at positions 524 to 776 of the family's 1533-position model. The record is from RNAcentral.
UACGUAGGGGGCAAGCGUUGUCCGGAAUCAUUGGGCGUAAAGCGCGUGUAGGCGGUUCGGUAAGUCUGCUGUGAAAGUCCAGGGCUCAACCCUGGGAUGCCGGUGGAUACUGUCGGACUAGAGUACGGAAGAGGCGAGUGGAAUUCCUGGUGUAGCGGUGAAAUGCGUAGAUAUCUGGAGGAACACCGGUGGCGAAGGCGGCGUCCUGGACCAACACUGACACUGAUGAGCGAAAGCCAGGGGAGCAAACGGG